CUACAUGUCUCAAUGUUCCGAUCUGAAGAAGGGAAUAAGGAAUCAGUCCAAGAAGUUUUUUGAAUGAGAUUGAAAGGUGAAAGAUUGAGCUGAGUAUUCUUCUUCUUGUUAUUAUUAUUGUUAUCUGGAAAACUAAGGCUAAGGCUUAACCCCAAAUCUUCUUUUUCAACCAUCAUUUUUGUUUGCUUUUUUUUAGAUUUCUUGAAGAAAAAUAGAGCUAAAAAAAAGAGCAGUGAUGUGAAAAGAAUUUAUUUAUUUUUUUCAGGUAAGAAAGAUGAGG
This 280-nucleotide unclassified non-coding RNA is filed under the name Hevea brasiliensis (rubber tree). Lineage: Eukaryota; Viridiplantae; Streptophyta; Magnoliopsida; Malpighiales; Euphorbiaceae. The record is from RNAcentral.